AGCUGAAGAGGUAGUUUAGUGGUGUAAGCACCACGUUUGAAACACCUAGACUCUCUGGAACCGAUGGCUUAAAUCUCAGCAGGGUUGACUCAGCCCUUCAGCUCCUCAGGCAGACACCGAGUUUCAUGUGUCUACCAUGCAGAAAGAGUCUAUUUUCUUCUCAACCAAAGGAAAACUACCAGUGUUUCACCUCACUAAGAUGUAGAGAUUAACCCUAAAUGAAGGGGCCACAGCUCUUCUCGCUGUGUGUCUAUGCAGACAGGGCAGACAUAGGCUCACUGCUCAGCCUUCCUCAGGCAGACACAGUCACUAUGGUUGCCACCCUGUCACCUGGGGCUAUUGCCAGGCUCACUUCCAGAAAUGUGUACAGCUGGUACAGGUGGUAGUUACACCCACCCUUCACCUGACACACUGGUCACUCCCAUGUCUGUUUUCUGUGAUGAUGUAGGCAAAUCACAACAGAUUCCCCUCAGCAAGCUAAGAAUAUUUCCAAGCUAUUCUGCAAGAUAUACACCAGUCACUUUUGUCUCCUUAGAUUGUGUAUGGAAAGAAGACAAUCUGUGGGAGCAGUUUUAGACUCCUCUCUUCCUAUGAAGUGAUUCACCAUCAGGAGGUGCCUGUUUUUCUCAACAGCUAUCAAGGAAGCAUAAGGCUAGGAGCCUUGUCCUGAUCCAGACCAUACAUCUAACUUUCAAGCUCCUCAACCAGAAGAGAUGAACUUUACUGAAACUUUUCCUAAAAGUGUAAGAAGUAUUGAAAUUAAUCAAAAUAUGCACUUAAAAAAAAAACCAACAAAAAAAAAGAAGUUUUUUGAAUAGAGUACGUCUAAAUUUCCUUACUGAUAUGUUCCUCAUGUCUGUGAAGACACCUUACGGCUGCAUUGUUCUGGCAGAGGGUGAUGGCAUCCAGUAAGGAUCCAGCGGCUGAUUGCUCCUGAGAAGCAAGUCAGUGAGUGCAAGCCCUGCUAGGAAGUGUGAUGAGGAUUUUCUAAGACAAGCUCCUUCCUCAGCUGGAGACAGAGUAGGGCUUGGAGAAGACAUGAUGUGACUUGUUCCCAAGAAGAGCUGAGGAAGCUGUCCAAGAGGAUUCUGUGGGAAAGGCCCAAGGGGGAUCAGGAAGGCACAGAAGACGUAAGCAUUUGUCUGGAUCAUGGUCUGUCAGGAGCUUGAGGAUUAAGGGAUGUGCAGAGUAAGCAGGAGAAGUAAAAUGCCUGAGCUAUAUGAGACAAUCUUCAAUCAGUCCUUCUGUAUGAGGACUAGGAGAGCAUGGCAGCACCCCAUCCCUUCCUUAGCCUAUCUAAAGAAAAACCCAGGGCUAUGUGAGCAAAGGUCUACCUAUUUUAGAGAGG
Molecule: long non-coding RNA, 1348 nt
Organism: Neopsephotus bourkii (Bourke's parrot)
Lineage: Eukaryota; Metazoa; Chordata; Aves; Psittaciformes; Psittacidae
Exons: 3
Source: RefSeq, a predicted model, not a curated record